This 576-nucleotide long non-coding RNA is filed under the name Vigna radiata. RNAcentral's name for it is "long non-coding RNA (VRAD_LNC001461)". Lineage: Eukaryota; Viridiplantae; Streptophyta; Magnoliopsida; Fabales; Fabaceae. The record is from RNAcentral.
AUCAAACAUGUUGACCAAAAUAUUGGCUUAAGUGGUGUAGUCUACGUGUUUACUAAAUUUUAUGUCUUCCUAAAAUGUCAACUUGCGUUCUCAUUUUCAUCAUUUAUUCAUUAUCAUUAAUGUUAUUUAAAUAACACUGAAAUAGAUUCUCCAGACAAGGUCUUACGCAAAAUUUAUAGUCUAUACAUUAUCAUCGGAAUUUUCUUCAACGGAGUUAUUCUUCCUACAUCUCACUCAGUUCAUCCUGCACCUCCUUUUUCUUUUAUAGUUUCUACUGUAUCCCUUUUAGAAAAUAUUUUAGUUUAUUUUAGAUUUUAAAAAAGGCUGAAUAUUGAAUAAUAAAAAUCGAAGAACAAAUCUUCCUCCUAUGCCUGUCAUAUCUCAAGUUUAAAAGUCCUACACCCCCUUUCUUCAUCAUUCCUCCUCUUUGCUACACUUCAUGUUUAAACACUUCUUUUUUUCUUCUACUCUUCCUCUCCUCUUUCAUUUUUCAUCAUUUCAUUUUAAGGUAUUUUUGCUGCUGAUCUGUUGUAGUGUGAAAGAAAUGCUUGAUUUUUUGUUUGAUCUGGGGAUGAG